AAAAAACCGGAUCGUCCAGAAUUUCGGAAAAAUUUUCUGUCGAGUUUCCCAGCCAUUCUCAUUUGAUUGAGCGUAGAAAUAAGAUAUCUGUUUCUCAUUUGAAUUUAAUAGCUUCUAAAAAUAUAAAGUGACGAAA
Non-coding RNA from Caenorhabditis elegans, 136 nucleotides. The record is from Ensembl. Lineage: Eukaryota; Metazoa; Nematoda; Chromadorea; Rhabditida; Rhabditidae.